UACAGAGGGGGCAAGCGUUAUUCGGAAUUAUUGGGCGUAAAGGGCGCGUAGGCGAUUUGAAAAGUCUUGUGUGAAAGCCCCGGGCUUAACCCGGGAAGUGCACAAGAAACUGUUGAAUUUGAGUUCCGGAGAGGAAGGCAGAAUUCCCGGUGUAGCGGUGAAAUGCGUAGAUAUCGGGAGGAAUACCAGUGGCGAAGGCGGCCUUCUGGACGGAUACUGACGCUGAGGCGCGAAAGCCAGGGGAGCAAACGGG
Molecule: ribosomal RNA, 253 nt
Filed under: uncultured bacterium
Lineage: Bacteria
Description: partial 16S ribosomal RNA
Rfam family: Bacterial small subunit ribosomal RNA
Source: RNAcentral